UACAGAGGGUGCGAGCGUUGUUCGGAAUUACUGGGCGUAAAGCGUGCGCAGGCGGUUUUGUAAGCCAGGUGUGAAAUCCCCGGGCUCAACCUGGGAAUGGCAUUUGGGACUGCAAGGCUGGAGUGCGGCAGAGGAGACUGGAAUUCCUGGUGUAGCAGUGAAAUGCGUAGAUAUCAGGAGGAACACCGAUGGCGAAGGCAGGUCUCUGGGCUGACACUGACGCUCAUGCACGAAAGCGUGGGGAGCAAACAGG
This 253-nucleotide ribosomal RNA is filed under the name uncultured bacterium. Its description in RNAcentral is "partial 16S ribosomal RNA". It matches the Rfam family "Bacterial small subunit ribosomal RNA", at positions 524 to 776 of the family's 1533-position model. The record is from RNAcentral.